RNAcentral lists this ribosomal RNA (301 nucleotides) under uncultured bacterium. Its description in RNAcentral is "partial 16S ribosomal RNA". It matches the Rfam family "Bacterial small subunit ribosomal RNA", at positions 509 to 809 of the family's 1533-position model. The record is from RNAcentral.
CAGUAGCCGCGGUAAUACGUAGGUGGCGAGCGUUGUCCGGAAUUAUUGGGCGUAAAGGGCUCGCAGGCGGUUUCUUAAGUCUGAUGUGAAAGCCCCCGGCUCAACCGGGGAGGGUCAUUGGAAACUGGGAAACUUGAGUGCAGAAGAGGAGAGUGGAAUUCCACGUGUAGCGGUGAAAUGCGUAGAGAUGUGGAGGAACACCAGUGGCGAAGGCGACUCUCUGGCCUGUAACUGACGCUGAGGAGCGAAAGCGUGGGGAGCGAACAGGAUUAGAUACCCGCGUAUCCCUGUCUCUUAUACA